Molecule: long non-coding RNA, 788 nt
Organism: Bolinopsis microptera
Lineage: Eukaryota; Metazoa; Ctenophora; Tentaculata; Lobata; Bolinopsidae
Exons: 3
Source: RefSeq, a predicted model, not a curated record
UGUUUAAUUUGUUUUUUGUGUUUAAUUUACGAUUAUUUGUAUUUGAGAUUCUGCGAUUAAAUUUAUUUUGUUGAAUGUAAUGUUGUGAUACUGAUAUUGCAUAAUUUAUUGUAAAUGUAAUAUAUGUUUCAGAAAAUUAUGUAAUGUAACGCGAUGGAAGUUCUUUAAGCGGGCAUAUCCUGUCCAAACCCAGUAUACAUGACAUAAAAGAUUCGUUUUCACUUGUUUGCAUGAAAAGCAUUAAUUCAUUUAUGCAUGAAUAAGUACUAGUAUAUUGACUAUGACUUUUGUAAUUUAGUGUUCCAAAGAAAAAAGAAAUGAUAAAAUCAAUGCUCUUACUUAUAAGCUUCAUUACUAUCCUUGUGAGCUUUCCAGUUGACAUUUCUGACCUUGGAGAACAACGUCUACGUCCUAAAAACUACCGUAGAAACUGCAAAAAUCUUGAUCCUUUAGGAUUGUUUUUCUAUCGAAGACAUGAUAUUGGUUGUGGAAAGAUCAGUGCAGCUAGGAAAGUAGGAAAUGGUGUUGAUGUUUUGGGCCAACUUCAGGUGAAGCCAGUUCAACAUACCGGUAGACUCAGAAGAAAAGCACGUAAAAACCAUAAGCUGGUUAAACGCGGUUUAUUUUUUUAGAUAAAGUGUUCAAAAAGACACGAAAUACUUUUUAAUGAUAGGUGCGAUAACAGUUGAAGACGAACGAAGGAAUUUGCCGAGAGAUGCUUUUAGAAGUAGAUAGCACUAGAGCAGAUUUAACGGUAGUAUUAUGUGAAAUAUAGGGACUUUGCCAAU